This 230-nucleotide unclassified non-coding RNA is filed under the name Hevea brasiliensis (rubber tree). The record is from RNAcentral. Lineage: Eukaryota; Viridiplantae; Streptophyta; Magnoliopsida; Malpighiales; Euphorbiaceae.
UGUAAUCAUCUCCAUUAUACACCUGAAUUUGAAAGAGAAUAAAGGUCAACUUGGAAGAAAGGUAAAAUGUACAAGACAAACAUUAAAGCAUAUGGAAAUUCCUUUUCAUUUGAAUUCUGGAUCCUUGAACACAACACAGUUGAAAUUCAUCCAUUCAUUGACUGGUUCAAAACAUUAAUACUGCAUUUCUUUUCCACAGUAAACGACUCAGAAAAUGAAGUAGCUCUUUU